Non-coding RNA from Delphinapterus leucas (beluga whale), 2983 nucleotides. The record is from RefSeq and is a predicted model, not a curated record. NCBI's taxonomy places the organism in Eukaryota, Metazoa, Chordata, Mammalia, Artiodactyla, Monodontidae.
GGCGCAUCUUGCAGCCUGAAAGCAUGAGAAGACCUGGUUAGGCCAGCAGACACGAGGAAAGAACAAGGAAGCUGAACUCUAGUAAACAGCUGUCAAACUUAGUUGGUUGUCUGGGCUUUUCUGCUCUUGUAUGUAACGAUUUGUUGAAUUAAAUAAUGGCUAGAGUCCUUAUUAGGGACUGUUAGCUUAUACGUGACAGACUGCAGAAAUUGGCCAUAAAUACUUUGCAGCUCUUCCCCAUCGAGGGGCAGAGUCUGCUUCUCCACCUCUUGAAUCUGGGCUUGGCUCUAUGACUUGCUUUUGGCCAAUUGGACAUGAGCAAACAUGGCUUGAGAAAAGUUGUCGGGAACCUUUCCACCACUGUGCAAGCAAGCCUGGCUAUCUGUUGGAGAGACCAAGUGGAGAGAGGCUCCAGAAACACAGGGAAUCCAAAGACCAUCAAUUGGCCUGGACCCAAGACUGACCGCGGAUCUUCCCAACUACCAUUUCACUCUUGGCUUGGAUCAGCUUAUUCAGCAGUGAAGCUCUAGUGGGCAGCGUGCACACGGAGCCGUCCUCCGGGAACUGCUUCACGUACCUCUCCCGGGACCGCAUGCCAGUGCCGCAGGAGAUGCUGCAGGGCGACCAGGUGAUCCACUCGGACAUGGUGCAGGUGGAGCCGUCUGCAACACAGGAGCAGAUACUGCAGACCGGGCGCCACGACGCCGGGAUCCGCACGACCAGCCAAACUCCCCAAAGGCGGGCGUCAAGAAGGCCAGCUGGCAUUCAGGGGCAGUUAGGCAGUUGAGGAUGGAAGUCGACAUAAAAGGCACACAUCUUUAAACUAGGAAUUGUUCUUUAAAGGAAGUGCUUUUUUCCAGUGCACGGAGCACUCGUGAUUACUCCUCGUCUCAUGACGACGCAUUUGAAAGAUGGUUGGAUGGAUAGGAGUGUGUGUGUAUGUGUGUGUGCCUGUUCUAAAGAAGAAGAGGGAAAUGAAGUCGUCCAUCCACCCAUCCAUUUACUCAUGUCAGUAAAUCCUUACUGACUGCUUAGUGGUAUGUACUGAGGUUAAAGAGAUGUGUAAGAUACGGAUUUUGAUCUACUCCAGAACGAGAGAUGGGCACAUAAACUGCAAAACACACAUAAGCCCAGUGGAUUGGAAUGGGGAUGCUCCUUGGAGUUCUGGGUGAGAUUUCACAGAAGAGGGCACAUCUGAGUGCACUUUUGUUGGGUAGAGAAUAUCUGUAUUUAAGGUGAAGGGAACAGCUCCUGCAAUAACCUGUACCGAGUGUAUUGUGUGUGGCACUGGGAGAUGAGGCUAGAAAGGACUGAAGUCAGAGUGUGAAGCCUCCUGCACAUGUCCGCAGGCUGUCACGUGCACAUGGGUGAUGCCUACACGUUGUUAUUGAACCUAUGGACAGUGUUGCUAGACAGUGCUUGCUGGCGGUGCAGUAAUAAAGAUGGCUGGAACCCACAUUAGACACAGGGAAAUUCUGACACGUCCUACAAUGUGGAUGAACCUGCGGACAUUAUGCUGAGUGAAAUAAGCCAGUCACAAAAAGACAAAUACUGUAUGAUUCCACUUAUAUGAGAUACCUAGAAUGGUCAGUUCUUAGAAAGUAGAACGGUGGUUGCCAGGGGUUGGGGGAAUGGAGAGUUAGUGGUUAAUGGGUCUACAGUUUGUUUUGCGAGAUGAAAGGAGUUCUGGAGAUAGAGGGUGGUGAUGGUUGCGUGUGUGUGUGUGUGUGUGUGUGUGUGUACACAAUACCACUGAACUGUACAAUUAAAAAUAGUUAAGUUGGUAAACUUGAUGCUGUGUACCACCAAAACUACACCACCAGGCAGAGCCCAACAUGUUUCAGAAUUGUCAUUACUUCCUGGGAGCCACCUGAACUCCACUCCUGUAGAGGGGGUGGUUAAAGAUCUCAUUUCCCACUGCAGGCCACAGACAGCCCACCCAUCUGCCUCCCCUCAACCCCAAGAAAGAGAAAGCCUCCAGCGUUGCCAGUCCUGUCACAACUUCCUGCCUGCCUGUUCGUAGGAAUGGCCUGUGCAUGCAGGGUUCACUCCUUUCUGAAGUGCCUUAUCAUGGGCACAAACAGCAAUAAACCACUGUGGAGUGCAGCCAGGAGAGGUAUUUAAGACUGUGCCCCAGAAAGAGCCCGAGAGUCAAUGACCUGCAGUGGUGGGUGAGCUUCCUUCAGUUAUCCUCAGCUUGGAAAUGAUUUUCUUCCUGCCAUAAACCAGCCCAGCCUAUACAUCCCUUCCUAUUGCCUUGUUACACCUCUGAGACAGUUAAGAUCAGAGCACAGAGUAUAGAUCUGUUCAGUCAGAGAGAGGAAGUGUACCCUGGAAAGUAGGCAGCUGGCCUUUGCACAGCAAUCAGAGUAGUGCCAUGUUGAAGCCUGAGCCAUCAUGACAUGGGUGGUUCAAGCUUAUAGUUCAAGCCUGACCUUUGACCAGUUACAGAAUUGCUGCAGUCAGUCCAAAGGUCCUGACGCAAGGAACUGAGGGCUCUGACCCAGGCUGAGGUAGGACAUGCACGGGGUCCAUGAAUGACACAGAAUUAGGGCAAUGAUUUAGAUUCAAUCUUGGCCAAGCUCUUCACCUGCUUCUUAAAAAGAGGUUGAAGUUAAGGCCCAGAAGCAGGCAGCUUGCUAUCUGUUGUUUGUCAUAAGUAAGAUGUGUGCUAGCUCUUCAGUAACUUGUGUCUAUUUUCUUCCAUGGCUGGGGGGUCAGUUAAUCUCAAUUCUUUUGAUGUCAUAAGACAUGUCCGUGUUCACAGCCCUCAAGAUACUGUUGGACAUGGGAGUCUGCCCUUGGUGGUUCCCACUGACAAAUACAGUCAGGGUCCUAGUGCCCCACUGGGGGGGGGGGGUGCUACCUGACCAGCUAUGAGAGGCUGGCACGGCCAGGCAGGACCCUCCCUUCUCGAGCCUGGGUGUCUCGUCACCUCCAUCGCUGCAGCCCGGGCCCGUGCAGGGCUGGAAGUCCUGGGUGU